GGGUUGUGAGGUUAAGCGACUAAGCGUACACGGUGGAUGCCCUGGCAGUCAGAGGCGAUGAAGGACGUGCUAAUCUGCGAAAAGCGUCGGUAAGGUGAUAUGAACCGUUACAGCCGGCGAUGUCCGAAUGGGGAAACCCAGUGUGAUUCGUCACACUAUCGUUAACUGAAUACAUAGGUUAACGAGGCGAACCGGGGGAACUGAAACAUCUAAGUACCCCGAGGAAAAGAAAUCAACCGAGAUUCCCCCAGUAGCGGCGAGCGAACGGGGAGCAGCCCAGAGUCUGAAUCAGCUUGUGUGUUAGUGGAACGGUCUGGAAAGUCCGACGGUACAGGGUGAUAGUCCCGUACACCAAAAUGCACAGGCUGUGAACUCGAAGAGUAGGGCGGGACACGUGGUAUCCUGUCUGAAUAUGGGGGGACCAUCCUCCAAGGCUAAAUACUCCUGACUGACCGAUAGUGAACCAGUACCGUGAGGGAAAGGCGAAAAGAACCCCGGCGAGGGGAGUGAAAAAGAACCUGAAACCGUGUACGUACAAGCAGUGGGAGCACCUUCGGGUGUGACUGCGUACCUUUUGUAUAAUGGGUCAGCGACUUAUAUUCUGUAGCAAGGUUAACCGUAUAGGGGAGCCGCAGGGAAACCGAGUCUUAACUGGGCGUUAAGUUGCAGGGUAUAGACCCGAAACCCGGUGAUCUAGCCAUGGGCAGGUUGAAGGUUGGGUAACACUAACUGGAGGACCGAACCGACUAAUGUUGAAAAAUUAGCGGAUGACUUGUGGCUGGGGGUGAAAGGCCAAUCAAACCGGGAGAUAGCUGGUUCUCCCCGAAAGCUAUUUAGGUAGCGCCUCGUGAAUUCAUCUUCGGGGGUAGAGCACUGUUUCGGCUAGGGGGUCAUCCCGACUUACCAACCCGAUGCAAACUACGAAUACCGAAGAAUGUUAUCACGGGAGACACACGGCGGGUGCUAACGUCCGUCGUGAAGAGGGAAACAACCCAGACCGCCAGCUAAGGUCCCAAAGUCAUGGUUAAGUGGGAAACGAUGUGGGAAGGCACAGACAGCCAGGAUGUUGGCUUAGAAGCAGCCAUCAUUUAAAGAAAGCGUAAUAGCUCACUGGUCGAGUCGGCCUGCGCGGAAGAUGUAACGGGGCUAAACCAUGCACCGAAGCUGCGGCAGCGACACUAUGUGUUGUUGGGUAGGGGAGCGUUCUGUAAGCCUGCGAAGGUGACCUGUGAGGGUUGCUGGAGGUAUCAGAAGUGCGAAUGCUGACAUAAGUAACGAUAAAGCGGGUGAAAAGCCCGCUCGCCGGAAGACCAAGGGUUCCUGUCCAACGUUAAUCGGGGCAGGGUGAGUCGACCCCUAAGGCGAGGCCGAAAGGCGUAGUCGAUGGGAAACAGGUUAAUAUUCCUGUACUUGGUGUUACUGCGAAGGGGGGACGGAGAAGGCUAUGUUAGCCGGGCGACGGUUGUCCCGGUUUAAGCAUGUAGGCUGGUUGUCCAGGCAAAUCCGGAUAAUCAAGGCUGAGGUGUGAUGACGAGGCACUACGGUGCUGAAGUAACAAAUGCCCUGCUUCCAGGAAAAGCCUCUAAGCAUCAGGUAACAUUAAAUCGUACCCCAAACCGACACAGGUGGUCAGGUAGAGAAUACCAAGGCGCUUGAGAGAACUCGGGUGAAGGAACUAGGCAAAAUGGUGCCGUAACUUCGGGAGAAGGCACGCUGGUGUGUAGGUGAAGUCCCUGCGGAUGGAGCUGAGACCAGUCGAAGAUACCAGCUGGCUGCAACUGUUUAUUAAAAACACAGCACUGUGCAAACACGAAAGUGGACGUAUACGGUGUGACGCCUGCCCGGUGCCGGAAGGUUAAUUGAUGGGGUUAUCCGUAAGGAGAAGCUCUUGAUCGAAGCCCCGGUAAACGGCGGCCGUAACUAUAACGGUCCUAAGGUAGCGAAAUUCCUUGUCGGGUAAGUUCCGACCUGCACGAAUGGCGUAAUGAUGGCCAGGCUGUCUCCACCCGAGACUCAGUGAAAUUGAACUCGCUGUGAAGAUGCAGUGUACCCGCGGCAAGACGGAAAGACCCCGUGAACCUUUACUAUAGCUUGACACUGAACAUUGAGCCUUGAUGUGUAGGAUAGGUGGGAGGCUUUGAAGCGUGGACGCCAGUCUGCGUGGAGCCAACCUUGAAAUACCACCCUUUAAUGUUUGAUGUUCUAACGUUGGCCCCUGACCGGGGUUGCGGACAGUGUCUGGUGGGUAGUUUGACUGGGGCGGUCUCCUCCCAAAGCGUAACGGAGGAGCACGAAGGUUAGCUAAUCCUGGUCGGACAUCAGGAGGUUAGUGCAAUGGCAUAAGCUAGCUUGACUGCGAGCGUGACGGCGCGAGCAGGUGCGAAAGCAGGUCAUAGUGAUCCGGUGGUUCUGAAUGGAAGGGCCAUCGCUCAACGGAUAAAAGGUACUCCGGGGAUAACAGGCUGAUACCGCCCAAGAGUUCAUAUCGACGGCGGUGUUUGGCACCUCGAUGUCGGCUCAUCACAUCCUGGGGCUGAAGUAGGUCCCAAGGGUAUGGCUGUUCGCCAUUUAAAGUGGUACGCGAGCUGGGUUUAGAACGUCGUGAGACAGUUCGGUCCCUAUCUGCCGUGGGCGCUGGAGAAUUGAGGGGGGCUGCUCCUAGUACGAGAGGACCGGAGUGGACGCAUCACUGGUGUUCGGGUUGUCAUGCCAAUGGCACUGCCCGGUAGCUAAAUGCGGAAGAGAUAAGUGCUGAAAGCAUCUAAGCACGAAACUUGCCCCGAGAUGAGUUCUCCCUGAGACUUUAAGUCUCCUGAAGGAACGUUGAAGACGACGACGUUGAUAGGCCGGGUGUGUAAGCGCAGCGAUGCGUUGAGCUAACCGGUACUAAUGAACCGUGAGGCUUAACCUUACAACGCCGAAG
Molecule: ribosomal RNA, 2923 nt
Filed under: Klebsiella pneumoniae
Lineage: Bacteria; Pseudomonadati; Pseudomonadota; Gammaproteobacteria; Enterobacterales; Enterobacteriaceae
Description: 23S ribosomal RNA
Rfam family: Bacterial large subunit ribosomal RNA
Source: RNAcentral